This 497-nucleotide ribosomal RNA is filed under the name uncultured bacterium. Its description in RNAcentral is "partial 16S ribosomal RNA". It matches the Rfam family "Bacterial small subunit ribosomal RNA", at positions 28 to 507 of the family's 1533-position model. The record is from RNAcentral.
GAUGAACGCUGGCGGCGUGCCUAAUACAUGCAAGUCGAGCGAACAGACGAGGAGCUUGCUCCUCUGACGUUAGCGGCGGACGGGUGAGUAACACGUGGAUAACCUACCUAUAAGACUGGGAUAACUUCGGGAAACCGGAGCUAAUACCGGAUAAUAUAUUGAACCGCAUGGUUCAAUAGUGAAAGACGGUUUUGCUGUCACUUAUAGAUCGAUCCGCGCCGCAUUAGCUAGUUGGUAAGGUAACGGCUUACCAAGGCAACGAUGCGUAGCCGACCUGAGAGGGUGAUCGGCCACACUGGAACUGAGACACGGUCCAGACUCCUACGGGAGGCAGCAGUAGGGAAUCUUCCGCAAUGGGCGAAAGCUUGACGGAGCAACGCCGCGUGAGUGAUGAAGGUCUUCGGAUCGUAAAACUCUGUUAUUAGGGAAGAACAAAUGUGUAAGUAACUAUGCACGUCUUGACGGUACCUAAUCAGAAAGCCACGGCUAACUACGUG